UGGGGAAUAUUGGACAAUGGGCGAAAGCCUGAUCCAGCCAUGCCGCGUGUGUGAAGAAGGUCUUCGGAUUGUAAAGCACUUUAAGUUGGGAGGAAGGGCAGUAAGCGAAUACCUUGCUGUUUUGACGUUACCGACAGAAUAAGCACCGGCUAACUCUGUGCCAGCAGCCGCGGUAAUACAGAGGGUGCAAGCGUUAAUCGGAAUUACUGGGAGUAAAGCGCGCGUAGGUGGUUCGUUAAGUUGAAUGUGAAAGCCCCGGGCUCAACCUGGGAACUGCAUCCAAAACUGGCGAGCUAGAGUAGGGCAGAGGGUGGUGGAAUUUCCUGUGUAGCGGUGAAAUGCGUAGAUAUAGGAAGGAACACCAGUGGCGAAGGCGACCACCUGGGCUCAUACUGACACUGAGGUGCGAAAGCGUGGGGAGCAAACAGG
This 429-nucleotide ribosomal RNA is filed under the name Pseudomonadota bacterium. Its description in RNAcentral is "Proteobacteria bacterium partial 16S ribosomal RNA". It matches the Rfam family "Bacterial small subunit ribosomal RNA", at positions 355 to 776 of the family's 1533-position model. Lineage: Bacteria; Pseudomonadati; Pseudomonadota. The record is from RNAcentral.